RNAcentral lists this ribosomal RNA (433 nucleotides) under Enterobacter sp. C10. Its description in RNAcentral is "bacterial SSU rRNA". It matches the Rfam family "Bacterial small subunit ribosomal RNA", at positions 958 to 1392 of the family's 1533-position model. Lineage: Bacteria; Pseudomonadati; Pseudomonadota; Gammaproteobacteria; Enterobacterales; Enterobacteriaceae. The record is from RNAcentral.
AACGCGAAGAACCUUACCUACUCUUGACAUCCAGAGAACUUACCAGAGAUGGUUUGGUGCCUUCGGGAACUCUGAGACAGGUGCUGCAUGGCUGUCGUCAGCUCGUGUGUGAAAUGUUGGGUUAAGUCCCGCAACGAGCGCAACCCUUAUCCUUUGUUGCCAGCGGUCCGGCCGGGAACUCAAAGGAGACUGCCAGUGAUAAACUGGAGGAAGGUGGGGAUGACGUCAAGUCAUCAUGGCCCUUACGAGUAGGGCUACACACGUGCUACAAUGGCGCAUACAAAGAGAAGCGACCUCGCGAGAGCAAGCGGACCUCAUAAAGUGCGUCGUAGUCCGGAUUGGAGUCUGCAACUCGACUCCAUGAAGUCGGAAUCGCUAGUAAUCGUGGAUCAGAAUGCCACGGUGAAUACGUUCCCGGGCCUUGUACACACCG